This is an RNA transcript of Trachemys scripta elegans, 3943 nucleotides long. It is a transcript of the gene named melanotransferrin, with no coding region annotated. The record is from RefSeq and is a predicted model, not a curated record. NCBI's taxonomy places the organism in Eukaryota, Metazoa, Chordata, Testudines, Emydidae. The transcript has 17 exons.
GCUCCAGUGUCCCAGGAAUUUUGCAUUUGUAGUUUGUUUCCUUUUCAAGACUGAAGUUAAUAUAAACGGAUGCCGUUUUUUCCCUCUCCCUUUAGAAUGGGAUGUGUGCUGGAGUAACAAAGAGUAAUUGUUAUGCAGCGUGAGGGUCUUGAUUUCCAACAAGGAGUGGUCUGAAGAGGAGCAGACUGACCAGAAUAUACUAUAAAAGCAUUGAUCGCUGGAAUUCUGAAGGCUGGAGACGGAGCAGAGAACACGCAGACUUCAUCAUGAACUUCCAGGGCAUAUUUUAUCAUCUCUGCUUCUUUCACACUGCUCUGAGCCUGCAGCAUGUGAGGUGGUGCACUAUCUCUGAGCAAGAACAGGACAAGUGUAAUGACAUGAGCGCAGCCUUCACUGAUGCCAACAUCCUUCCCAAUGUAUUGUGUGUUAGAGGUGGCUCAGCCAUUAACUGCACCCAUAUGAUCAAGAACAAUUUGGCAGAUGCGGUGACAUUGGAUGGUGGCACCAUUUAUCAAGCUGGAAAGGAACAUAAUCUGAAACCUGUGGUUGGAGAAGUAUAUGAUCAAGAAAUUGGCACUUCAUACUAUGCAGUGGCUGUUGUCAGAAAAAAUUCCUUCAUUAACAUAAACAGUUUGAAGGGUGUAAAGUCAUGCCACACAGGCAUCAACAGAACAGUUGGCUGGAAUGUUCCUGUUGGCUACCUCAUUGAUAGUGGUCGCAUGUCAGUGAUGGGAUGCAGUGUUCCAAAAGCUGUUAGUGAAUAUUUCAGUGCAAGCUGUGUUCCUGGAGCCAAUAAUGUAAAUUACCCCAAAUCCCUCUGUCAGCUCUGUAAAGGGGACGCAUCUGGGCAGGACAAAUGUGAAAGAAAUUCAAAAGAGCAGUAUUAUGACUACAGCGGGGCUUUCAGGUGUUUGGCUGAAGGAGCUGGAGAUGUCGCCUUUGUGAAGCACAGCACAGUGUCUGAAAACACAGAUGGCCAGACUCCUUCCUCAUGGGCCCAAGAGCUUCACUCCAGGGACUUCCAGCUUCUCUGCCGCGAUGGCAGCACAGCUGAGGUUACAGACUGGAGGAAAUGCCACCUGGCCCGAGUUCCAGCUCACGCUGUUGUCGUCAGACCUGACACCGAUGGGUCACUCAUCUUCCAGAUGCUUAAGCAGGGGCAGCAAAGAUUUCAGAUGUUUGACUCUGCAGCUUACAAUGCAAAGAAUCUUCUCUUCAAAGACACCACCACAGAAUUGGUUCCAAUCACAAAUCAGAACUACCAGGCUUGGCUGGGUGAUGAAUAUAUGCAUGCCAUGCAAGGCUUGAGCUGCGAUCCCACCAGGUUGCCAGAAAGCCUGCGAUGGUGCGUUGUGCUCACUGAGGAGAUCUGGAAAUGUAGUGAAAUGGCUGUUGCCUUUAAAAAAAAGAACUUGAAACCAGAGAUCCAGUGUGUUUCAGCCAAGACAACAGAACAGUGUAUGGAAAUGAUCCAGAAAAAAGAAAGUGAUGCUGUAAGUGUGGAUGGAGCUGAUAUUUACACAGCUGGAAACAUGUAUGGCCUAGUGCCAGCCGCUGGGGAAAGUUACUCUGCUGAUGACAACAGCAACAUGUACUAUGCUGUGGCAUUAGUGAAACGGAACAAUUCCAAUGCUUUCACCAUCAAUGAUCUGAAAGGGAAAAAGUCCUGCCACACAGGAUAUGGGAGAAUGGCUGGAUGGAACAUCCCUAUUGGUGUUCUAAUUAAAAGGGGCUUUAUUAGGCCCAUGGACUGCAAUAUUCCUCAAGCUGUGAGUGACUUUUUCUCCGCUAGCUGUGUGCCUGCAGCCAAGAUGGACAAUUACCCAUCAAAACUCUGUGAGCUUUGCAUUGGCGAUAAUAGUGGAAACAAUAAAUGCGAUGCAAGUACCCAGGAACGUUAUUAUAGCUACAGUGGAGCCUUCAGGUGUCUGAUGGAGGAUUCUGGUGAUGUGGCCUUUGUCAAGCAUUCAACAGUUUUUGAGAACACCGAUGGUAACAAUGCUGAUUCCUGGGCUCUUCACCUGCAGUCCAGCGACUUCCAGUUACUGUGUCCAAAUGGAGCCCGUGCUGAAAUCACUCAGUUUGCUCAGUGUCACUUGGCUCAGGUGCCUGCCCAGGUUGUCAUGGUCCACCCAGACACCAACAUUUUUGCUGUAUAUGGACUACUGGACAAAGCUCAGGAUUUCUUUGGAAAUGACAGCAAUGGAAAUGGAUUCAAAAUGUUUGAUUCCUCAGAUUUCCUAGGAACAGAUUUGAUCUUUAAAGAUUCCACCGUUAAGAUUGUACCAGUAGGAGAGAAAACAACCUAUGCAGAAUGGCUGGGAAGUGAAUAUAUAGAUUCUCUUAAAGGGAUGCAAUCACCACAGUGCUCUGGGGCAGCUGCAAUAUCCAUGAACAUCAUUGUGCUGCCGGUGGCUAGUGUCCUUCUGAUUAGAUUCUACUCGUGAUCAUCAGGCCGUUCCUUGGAUUAACAGAUAUUCAGCAUAAUAAACUGAAAUACUGGGAGUUUCUCUCUGAUGAUGAGGACUCUGUUAAGGAUUUUAUAUACUACUGAUCCUUUUUGAAGGCUCAGCACAGAGGUAGUCUCAAGAGAGCAGAUGGCUUCAAGACAACAACCAGAGCUGAAGCAGAUGGUGGUGCUGAGGUACCUUGGACUGAAGCUGUAAAGAGCAGAGACUCUGGUGCAGGUCUUCAUACCCAGCAAUGAAAACUGAAAUAACUUCAGCUGGGUUGGGUGGUAGAGACUCCUGAAGAACACUAGCCAGCUCUUCCCUUUGGGGCUAGAGAAUGACCUGCCAGAAUUCUUGGACUCCAGCAACCUUGGCCAACAAACUGUGAGUUGGGAAGUUGGGGAUGAGGGAAGUGACUAAAAUGCUUUAGCUACUCACAACUGCAAGAGGUGGACUGAGGUUGGGACUAUUAUUAAAACACACAAAGGGGAGGGGAAUCUUACUUAAUAGAUAUUGUUAAUUUAUUAAUUCCUGGCUUUCCCAAAUUAAUUCUGUUGUCUCCACUACCCCUAAUAAAGUUCUCAGUGUUUUAAAUAAUUAGACUUAGUGCUUAUUAGUGGGAAGUAUUGACCAUUAAGGUCACCCAGGGUGAUAUAUAUAUAGUUUCCCAUGUUUUUGGGGUGGUGAGGGCUUAUGCAAGUGUAAGUAUUCAGAAAGAACUCCUAGAAAAUUGAACCUGGUCCUUCUUACUGCAGACAGCAUGUGGGCAGUAAGGUUACCCUUUUUUACUGUAUGAAGGAACAGUGCUAUUAAUAAUUUCAUGUUAAUACUUUACUUCAAAAGUAAAUUGUCUUUGUAAAUUUAGUGCUCCGGAUACACAGGCCAAGACAGUGAAGUCAUCCUUAUACUCACAGAUCAGGUACAAUACAGGAAGAGGCAAUGAAAGCUACCCUACAAUGUGCCUCACCCAAGUUCUCAUGGGAUCACCUCUAAGUGUGGGAGAUUAGUUUGGUCUCAACGACCAACUUAAUCGUUGGCCUCUCUGUUUUAACUUUAUAUUGUUAUUUCUUUUCUUUUCUUUUUCACUUUGGGAGGCACUCAGAUACUAUGGGGAUGGAGGUCAAAUAAUCAGGUAGGUAGCUAGAAUUGUUAUAUACCAAUUAUGUGGCGGUUGGGGGAUGAGGACAUUAGGCCACUAAAAACUGGACUCUUCACAUAGGCCACCAAAUAGCUAUCCACUUGUAACACCUUUUAGUUACUUAUGGCCCCGGGCUUGAUUUGAAUUAUCUAAUGGUGAAAUGCCAUCACCAAUCUCUUGAGCCUCAGCUCAUUAUAUCAGCUGUGCAUUGAACACUCAGACAGGUAGGAGUUGAAGAUCAUGUAUGUGUAACUGGAAAUGUAACUUCGCCUACACUUUCCAUAAAGUCUCUCAUUGAUCUAUGGCCUUAGAGUUAUAGGGUAUUAAUGAUCUCCAAAUAGGUAUUAUAUAGGCA